RNAcentral lists this ribosomal RNA (506 nucleotides) under uncultured bacterium. RNAcentral's name for it is "partial 16S ribosomal RNA". It matches the Rfam family "Bacterial small subunit ribosomal RNA", at positions 30 to 523 of the family's 1533-position model. The record is from RNAcentral.
AUUGAACGCUGGCGGCAUGCCUUACACAUGCAAGUCGAACGGCAGCAUGGAAGAGCUUGCUCUUCUGAUGGCGAGUGGCGAACGGGUGAGUAAAGCAUCGGAACGUACCGUGUAAUGGGGGAUAACGUAGCGAAAGUUACGCUAAUACCGCAUACGACCUGAGGGUGAAAGCAGGGGAUAGCAAGACCUUGCGUUAUACGAGCGGCCGAUGUCAGAUUAGCUAGUUGGUAGGGUAAAGGCCUACCAAGGCGACGAUCUGUAGCGGGUCUGAGAGGAUGAUGCGCCACACUGGGACUGAGACACGGACCAGACUCCUACGGGAGGCAGCAGUGGGGAAUUUUGGACAAUGGGGGCAACCCUGAUCCAGCCAUGCCGCGUGAGUGAAGAAGGCCUUCGGGUUGUAAAGCUCUUUCGGCCGGGAAGAAAUCGCACAGGCUAAUACUCUGUGUGGAUGACGGUACCGGCAUAAGAAGCACCGGCUAACUACGUGCCAGCCGCCGCAGUAA